Molecule: ribosomal RNA, 110 nt
Filed under: Acetobacter sp.
Lineage: Bacteria; Pseudomonadati; Pseudomonadota; Alphaproteobacteria; Acetobacterales; Acetobacteraceae
Source: RNAcentral
ACUAUGGCAGGGCGUGAACCACUCGAUCCCAUCCCGAACUCGAACGUGAAAAGCCCUAGCGCCUAUGAUACUGUAGCUAUAAGCCGCGGAAAAGUCGGUCGCCGCCAGGC